Non-coding RNA from Felis catus (domestic cat), 85 nucleotides. The record is from Rfam. Lineage: Eukaryota; Metazoa; Chordata; Mammalia; Carnivora; Felidae.
ACCUGGGUGGCUCAGUUGGUUAAGCGUCUGACUUUGGCUCAGGUCAUGAUCUCACGGCUCGUGAGUUCAAGCCCCACAUCAGGCU